UCCCCAGACUCCUACGGGAGGCAGCAGUGAGGAAUAUUGGUCAAUGGUCGGGAGACUGAACCAGCCAAGCCGCGUGAGGGAUGAAGGUACAGAGUAUCGUAAACCUCUUUUGUCAGGGAACAAAGGCGGGGACGUGUCCCCGGAUGAGUGUACCUGAAGAAAAAGCAUCGGCUAACUCCGUGCCAGCAGCCGCGGUAAUACGGAGGAUGCGAGCGUUAUCCGGAUUUAUUGGGUGUAAAGGGUGCGUAGGCGGUAAUACAGGUCUGUGGUAUAAGCCCGAAGCUUAACUUCGGUUCGCCACAGAAACCGUAUAACUAGAGUAUGGUAGAGGCAAGUGGAAUUUCUAGUGUAGCGGUAAAAUGCGUAGAUAUUAGAAGGAACACCAGUGGCGAAGGCGACUUGCUGGGCCAAAACUGACGCUGAGGCACGAAAGCGUGGGGAGCGAAUAGGAUUAGAUACCCCAGUA
Molecule: ribosomal RNA, 466 nt
Filed under: uncultured bacterium
Lineage: Bacteria
Description: bacterial SSU rRNA
Rfam family: Bacterial small subunit ribosomal RNA
Source: RNAcentral